Molecule: long non-coding RNA, 459 nt
Organism: Ooceraea biroi (clonal raider ant)
Lineage: Eukaryota; Metazoa; Arthropoda; Insecta; Hymenoptera; Formicidae
Source: RefSeq, a predicted model, not a curated record
ACUGGCGUAACUUCUGUUGGGAACGGGAGGGAACAGAGUGCAAGAGCACUUUUCGAACGUUUUAGGAGCUAACCAACAAGUUCCACGACAAAAGACAAAUAAUAGCGAUGGCAAAGAUCGGAAAGAUCGUCAAAGAUAUCUACUACGAUCAAUUUAAAUGGUCGGUGGUGAAGAACAUUGCGUUCUUUAUGGUCGGCGUCAAGAUCGCUAUCGAGUGUAAUGGGAUGACCCUCAUGCCGCCAGUUUAAGAUUCAAGUCCCUCAAAUCCACAAGGAUCCACAAAAUGAUUGUCCAAAUGCUUCGAUAAUCUUUACAUCUUGCAAGCACGUUACGGCCAUUGCAGCAAUAUUUAACUUCCGUUGUACUAUACACAUUACGCAGUUAUACAAUUUUCUAUUUGGAAUACGAUAUAUUGUAGAAUUUUUAUAUAAUAAAUGGCACAUUUACGUUCGGUUAUCG